GAUGAACGCUGGCGGCGUGCCUAAUACAUGCAAGUCGAGCGAACGGACGAGAAGCUUUCUUCUCUGAUGUUAGCGACGGACGGGUGAGUAACACGUGGAUAACCUACCUAUAAUACUUGGAUAACUUCGGGAAACCGGAGCUAAUACCGGAUAAUAUUUUGAACCGCUUGGUUCAAAAGUUAUAGACGGUCUUGCUGUCACUUAUAGAUGGAUCCGCGCUGCAUUAGCUAGUUGGUAAGGUAACGGCUUACCAAGGCAACGAUGCAUAGCCGACCUGAGAGGAUGAUCGGCCACACUGGAACUGAGACACGGUCCAGACUCCUACGGGAGGCAGCAGUAGGGAAUAUUCGGCAAUGGGCGCAAGCCUGACCGAGCAACGCCGCGUGAGUGAAGAAGGUCUUCGGAUUGUAAAACUCUGUUAUUAGGAAAGAAAAUCUGUGUAUGUAACUGUGCACAUCUUGACGGUACCUAAACAGAAAGCAACGGCUAACUACGUG
This 497-nucleotide ribosomal RNA is filed under the name uncultured bacterium. RNAcentral describes it as "partial 16S ribosomal RNA". It matches the Rfam family "Bacterial small subunit ribosomal RNA", at positions 28 to 507 of the family's 1533-position model. The record is from RNAcentral.